RNAcentral lists this ribosomal RNA (373 nucleotides) under uncultured bacterium. RNAcentral's name for it is "bacterial SSU rRNA". It matches the Rfam family "Bacterial small subunit ribosomal RNA", at positions 32 to 416 of the family's 1533-position model. The record is from RNAcentral.
AAUCAACGCUGGCGGCGCGCUUAACACAUGCAAGUCGCACGAGAAAGUGGAGCAAUCCAUGAGUACAGUGGCGUACGGGUGAGUAACACGUGGGUAAUCUACCUCUUAGUGGGGAAUAACUCUGGGAAACCGGAGCUAAUACCGCAUAAGCCUGGAAAGGGAAAGCAGCAAUGCGCUGAGAGGGGAGCCCGCGGCCGAUUAGCUAGUUGGUAGGUAAAAGCCUACCAAGGCAAUGAUCGGUAGCCGGCCUGAGAGGGCACACGGCCACACUGGCACUGAAACACGGGCCAGACUCCUACGGGAGGCAGCAGUGGGGAAUCUUGCACAAUGGGGGCAACCCUGAUGCAGCGACGCCGCGUGAGCGAUGAAGCCC